UACAGAGGUCCCGAGCGUUGUUCGGAUUCAUUGGGCGUAAAGGGUGCGUAGGCGGCGGGGCAAGUCUGAUGUGAAAUCCCGGGGCUCAACCCCGGAACUGCAUUGGAUACUGCCUUGCUUGAGUACUGGAGAGGAGACUGGAAUUUACGGUGUAGCAGUGAAAUGCGUAGAUAUGCGGAGGAACACCGAUGGCGAAGGCAAUCCCCUGGACCUGUACUGACGCUCAUGCACGAAAGCGUGGGGAGCAAACAGG
Molecule: ribosomal RNA, 253 nt
Filed under: uncultured bacterium
Lineage: Bacteria
Description: partial 16S ribosomal RNA
Rfam family: Bacterial small subunit ribosomal RNA
Source: RNAcentral